GACGUAGGGGGCAAGCGUUGUUCGGAAUCACUGGGCGUAAAGGGCGCGUAGGCGGGAUGGCAAGUCGGUCGUGAAAUCCUUCGGCUCAACCGAAGAACGUCGGCCGAUACUGCCGUUCUUGAGGGAUGCAGAGGAGAUUGGAAUUCCCGGUGUAGCGGUGAAAUGUGUAGAGAUCGGGAGGAACACCGGUGGCGAAGGCGGGUCUCUGGGCAUCUCCUGACGCUGAGGCGCGAAAGCGUGGGGAGCAAACGGG
This 253-nucleotide ribosomal RNA is filed under the name uncultured bacterium. RNAcentral describes it as "partial 16S ribosomal RNA". It matches the Rfam family "Bacterial small subunit ribosomal RNA", at positions 524 to 776 of the family's 1533-position model. The record is from RNAcentral.